This 249-nucleotide ribosomal RNA is filed under the name uncultured Diversispora. Its description in RNAcentral is "partial 18S ribosomal RNA". It matches the Rfam family "Eukaryotic small subunit ribosomal RNA", at positions 1581 to 1826 of the family's 1831-position model. Lineage: Eukaryota; Fungi; Glomeromycota; Glomeromycetes; Diversisporales; Diversisporaceae. The record is from RNAcentral.
GGAUCCCCAAUACUUCGCUCUUCAACGAGGAAUCCCUAGUAAGCGUGAGUCAUCAGCUCACGUUGAUUACGUCCCUGCCCUUUGUACACACCGCCCGUCGCUACUACCGAUUGAAUGGCUUAGUGAGACCUUUGGAUUGGGGUUUGGAAGCGGCAACGUAACCAUUCUCCGAGGAGUCGGUCAAACUUGGUCAUUUAGAGGAAGUAAAAGUCGUAACAAGGUUUCCGUAAGGUGAACCUGCGGAAGGAU